UACAUGCAAGUCGAGCGAACGGACGAGAAGCUUGCUUCUCUGAUGUUAGCGGCGGACGGGUGAGUAACACGUGGAUAACCUACCUAUAAGACUGGGAUAACUUCGGGAAACCGGAGCUAAUACCGGAUGAUAUUUUGAACCGCAUGGUUCAAAAGUGAAAGACGGUCUUGCUGUCACUUAUAGAUGGAUCCGCGCUGCAUUAGCUAGUUGGUAAGGUAACGGCUUACCAAGGCAACGAUGCAUAGCCGACCUGAGAGGGUGAUCGGCCACACUGGAACUGAGACACGGUCCAGACUCCUACGGGAGGCAGCAGUAGGGAAUCUUCCGCAAUGGGCGAAAGCCUGACGGAGCAACGCCGCGUGAGUGAUGAAGGUCUUCGGAUCGUAAAACUCUGUUAUUAGGGAAGAACAUAUGUGUAAGUAACUGUGCACAUCUUGACGGUACCUAAUCAGAAAGCCACGGCUAACUACGUGCCAGCAGCCGCGGUAAUACGUAGGUGGCAAGCGUUAUCCGGAAUUAUUGGGCGUAAAGCGCGCGUAGGCGGUUUUUUAAGUCUGAUGUGAAAGCCCACGGCUCAACCGUGGAGGGUCAUUGGAAACUGGAAAACUUGAGUGCAGAAGAGGAAAGUGGAAUUCCAUGUGUAGCGGUGAAAUGCGCAGAGAUAUGGAGGAACACCAGUGGCGAAGGCGACUUUCUGGUCUGUAACUGACGCUGAUGUGCGAAAGCGUGGGGA
This 733-nucleotide ribosomal RNA is filed under the name uncultured Staphylococcus sp. Its description in RNAcentral is "bacterial SSU rRNA". It matches the Rfam family "Bacterial small subunit ribosomal RNA", at positions 52 to 767 of the family's 1533-position model. The record is from RNAcentral. Lineage: Bacteria; Bacillati; Bacillota; Bacilli; Caryophanales; Staphylococcaceae.